RNAcentral lists this long non-coding RNA (3666 nucleotides) under Canis lupus familiaris (dog). RNAcentral describes it as "lncRNA (ENSCAFG00000050547.1)". Lineage: Eukaryota; Metazoa; Chordata; Mammalia; Carnivora; Canidae. The record is from RNAcentral.
GCCCGAUGUGGAACUCCAUCCUGGGACUCCAAAAAGGUUGCUUCAGAAUUUUCAACAGUGACUGGCAUUGGUGAAAAGGAAAUAACCAGACUUGGGGGGGAUUUCUGGACACUGGCUCUGAAUUGACACUAACUUGAAGAAACCCAAAAUGUCACAACGUUUCACCAAUAGGAGUAGGGGCUUAUGGAGGUCAGAUGGUCAAUGGAGUUUUAGCUCAGGUCUGUCUCAAAGUGUUUCCAGUGGGUCUGCAAACCUAUCAUCUGGUCAUUUCUCCAAUUCUGGAGUGCAUAAUUAGAAUAGGCGUACUCAGCAAGUAGUAGAAUCCCCAUAUUGGUUCCCUGACCUGGAGAACCAAUAUGGAGUAAGUGCUAUUAUCAUAAGAAAGGUGAAGUGGAAGUCCCUAGAAUUGUCCUAUCUAUGAAAAGAGUAAACCAAAAGCAACACCACAUUCUUGGAGGGAUUUCAGAAAUUAGUGCCACCAUCAGGGAGUUGAUGAAUGCAAGGGUUGUGAUUCUUACCACAUCUCCAAUCAGCUCACCUCGUUGGCCUAUGCAGAAAAUGGACCUUGGAGAAUGGCAGCAGAUCAUCAUAAACUUAAUCGGAUGUUGACUUCAAUUACAAUGUUGUACCCCAUGUGAUCAUUGCUUAAGCAAAUUAACAUUCCCUGGUAUCAGCCUGUAGCCAUUGAUUGAACAAAUGUUUUUUUCUUGUUAUCUGCUAGUACAGACCACUAGACCAGUUUGCUUUCAGCUAAGUGGGCCAGCGAAAUACCCUCACUGUCCUACAUCAGGAGUAUAUCAACUUUCCAAUUCUAUGUUAUAAUUUAGCUCUCAGGGACCUUGAUUGUCUUUCCCUUCCACUAGAUAUCACACUAAUUACAUAGAUAACUUGUUGAUUGGACUUAGUGAGCAAGAAGUAGCAACUACUAUGGACUUGGCUGGACAUUUGCAUGUCAAUGAGUGGGAAAUAAAAAUUCAGUGGUACCUACUUCAGUGAAAUUUCUAGUGGUUCAGUUUAGGGCAUUUCAAGAUACCUCUUCUAAGAUAAAGGGUAAAUUGUUUGUCUGGCUCUUCCUACAACCAAAAAAGAGGCACCAUGUGCAGUGGUCCUCUUUGCAUUUGGAGGCAAUGCAUUUCUUAGUGAGAUGUGCUACUCUAACUCAUUUACUGAGUAACACAAAAGCUGCUAGUUUUGAGUAGAACAAAGUACAAGAGAGGGCCCUGCAACGGGUCCAGCUGUGGAGCAUGCUGAUUUGCCACUGGGGCCAGAUGCACUGGUAUUUGAAAUGGCAGUGGCAGACAACGGUGCUGGAAUCUUUAAAGGGCCCUAUAGAUGAAUCACAGCAUAGAUCCUUAAAGGGCUUUGGAACAAUGCCCUGCCAUUCUUGUGGAUAACUAUUCUCCUUUUCAGAAACAACUUUUGGCUCCCUAUUGGGUUUUAGAAGGGAUCAGGUUACGAUGUAACCUGAGCUGCCCAUCAUAAAUUGUCCGAUCCAUCAAGCAAUAAAGUUGGGUGUCAACAGCAGCAGCACUCCAUCAUCAAGUCGCGGUGGCAUAUAUGAGACUGGACUCAAGCAGGCCAUGAUGGUGUGGUGAAGUUACAUGAGAAAGUAGUCCAAAUGCCCAUGGUGCCCACUCUUGCUAUAUAUUACUUUUUCUUCCCCAAUCUGCAUCUAUGGCAUCAUGGGAAGUCUCUCUCAAUCAUGUGAGGAACAGAGGCCUCAGUUCUACUUUAUGUAUUAUUCCAUGAAAUAUACAGACAUCACCAUACAGUGGACAUCUGUAACACCACAGUCCCUUCUGGGUCAUUCCUGAAGGACAACUGUGAAAGGAAAUCAAUCCAAUGAGUAGAAUUUAAGCAGCAUGAUUGGUUAUUUUUAUCAAAAAGAGAAAUGGCCAGAUGUGUGAUUUUAUAACAAUUUAUGAGUUAUGGCCAAUGAUUUGCCUGAAUGGUCAGGGACUUGAAAGUAACAUGAUUGGGAAAUUGGUGACAAGGGGUCCAGGGAAAAAGUCUAUGGGUAGACUCUCUGAAUGGACAGAAAGUAUAAAGAUAUUUGAGUCUCAGGAGGAUUUUAAUAAUAAAAUGGGUAGGAUGACCCAUGGGCUUCUAUUCACCAAGCCCAAUCUGGCUAAAGGCACUGCUAAGUGUCCAGUGUGCCAGCAACAGAGACCAACACUGAGCCACCAUGACACCAUACCACGGGGUCAUCAAAAUUCUACUUGGUAAUAAGUGGUAACAUUGAACUGCUAAUCAUCAUGGAAGGGGCAAGAUUUUGUUCUUACUAGAAAAAAAAAAAAAGCACUUCUGUGGAUACAGAUUUCCUUCCUUACAUACAAUGCUUCUACUAAAACUACCAUCCAUGGCGUACAGAACACCUCAUCCACUGUCAUAGUAUUCCACGUGGCAUUGCUUCUGAUCAAGGAACCCACUUCACAACAACAUGCAUCAGAGGACCCACACUUGUGGGAUCCAUUGAUCUUACCAUGUUCCCCAUCAUCCUGAAGCAGCUGAUUGACAGAAGGUGGAAUAGCAAUGCCGGUUAGGUAGCACAGUCUUUACGACUGGCUCAGGUGCUCCAGGACGGUGUAUAUGCUCGGCUACUAAUAUAUGGGACUGUAGCCAGGAUUCACGGGUCUCAAACUCAAGGGAUAGAAAUGGAGUGACACCACUCAUUAUCACACCUGGUGUUCCACUCACAAGAAUUUUUCUUUCAAAAAAAAAAAAAGAAUUUUUCUUUCUGUUUCUAAAACCUUAUGGUCUGCUGGUCUAGAUAACUUAGAACCAAAGGAAGAAAUGCUUCCACUAGUAGAGGCAACAAUGAUUCUAUUAAAUUGGAAGUUAACACUACCUCCCAGACUUUUUGGACUCCUCAGGCCUCUGACUCUACAGGCAAAGAAGGGAGUUGGUAUACUUACUGAGGUUAUUGAUCCUGAUUACUAAGGGGAAACUGAACUGCUGAUCCACAAUAGAAACAAGGAGAAGCAUGUCCAUAUGCAGCUUCCUCAGAUGUUUCUUAGUACUACCAUGCGCUACCACUACAGUCCACGGAAGCUACACCUACCAAUUCAUGAAGGACCACAGUGGCCCAUACCCUCCAGGAAGGAAGGUUUGCAUCAUCUCAGCAGGCAAAGAAGCACAACCAUCUUAGGUGUUUGCUUGCAGUUAGGAGAAUACAGAAUGGGUGGUGGAACGUGUGUCAUUAUAAAUCCUAGCUACAAACAUGGGAUUAGUUGCAGAAAUGAAGAUUGCAAUUGUUAUAAGUAUUCUUUAUUUUGCUGUGAAUAUGUUUAUAUUAUAUAUGAUAUCUAUGAUAGAUAGAUGAUAGAUAGAUAGAUGAUAGAUAGAUAGAUAGAUAGAUAGAUAGAUAGAUAGAUAGAUGAUAGAGACACCCCUGGCUCAUACAAAAGUAUAAAUAAGAAAGAUAACAACAAAAACAUUUUGAGAAUUAGGACACAUACAAAAUAAGAAAUUAAAAAAAAAAGAAAGAAGAUGUAAUUAAUCAUUUCAAAUGCCCUCAAUAAGUACAGUCAGCAGAGCAUUCCCGAAGGUAAAUGAAGCAGCAGCUUCAUACUGAUGAAUCCACUGACCGUGACAAAUAGCAUCAUCUUUAUAUAGACUCUUAGGCUGAUCAAGAAUCUUCAUCAAAACUAUUUAAUGAAAAAAGGC